Molecule: transfer RNA, 66 nt
Filed under: Xylella fastidiosa
Lineage: Bacteria; Pseudomonadati; Pseudomonadota; Gammaproteobacteria; Lysobacterales; Lysobacteraceae
Also listed under: 1 other name
Description: tRNA-Ser
Rfam family: tRNA
About the family: Transfer RNA (tRNA) molecules are approximately 80 nucleotides in length. Their secondary structure includes four short double-helical elements and three loops (D, anti-codon, and T loops). Further hydrogen bonds mediate the characteristic L-shaped molecular structure. tRNAs have two regions of fundamental functional importance: the anti-codon, which is responsible for specific mRNA codon recognition, and the 3' end, to which the tRNAs corresponding amino acid is attached (by aminoacyl-tRNA synthetases). tRNAs cope with the degeneracy of the genetic code in two manners: having more than one tRNA (with a specific anti-codon) for a particular amino acid; and 'wobble' base-pairing, i.e. permitting non-standard base-pairing at the 3rd anti-codon position.
Source: RNAcentral
GUGUUGCUAACGUCCAGCGGACUUUUAAUCCGCUGGUCGCUGGUUCGAUUCCAGCACGGCCCACCA